Long non-coding RNA from Myotis davidii, 1139 nucleotides. RefSeq lists it as uncharacterized. The record is from RefSeq and is a predicted model, not a curated record. The transcript is spliced from 3 exons. NCBI's taxonomy places the organism in Eukaryota, Metazoa, Chordata, Mammalia, Chiroptera, Vespertilionidae.
CAGGAAUCAAACCCGCAACCUUGCCGUAGGGCGGGGGGCACUCCAACCAGAUGCGCUACCGGCCAGGUCUUCUGGGUAUUUUUUGACACGAAGAGAAGCACAGAGUGGUAGUCUCUCAUUUCCCUGCAUCCAGAUUUUUAAUCGCUUACAUCUGAUCACAUUUGUCUCCGAAGUUUUUUCUAAGGAAAAACAGGGCCUCGAGGUCCCCUAAAUCCCAUGUCCUCCCUGUUAGGCUGGAGGGAAGUCCAGGAGCCAAUGCAUGCACCGGGCCGAUGGCGACAUAGAUACUGGUUCCUUCCUGGGACCCGUGACGUACCUGCCCGCGACGGGAGCUCCCACAGCUCAUGCUCCCCGCCCUCACUGAACAGCUGUAUAAAAAAACACCUCCACUCCCUCUUGGCCCCACCCUUGGACCCGUGAACCUCGCCCGGGAGUGCAGAUUAAAGCUCCUCCUUUUUGAUUUGCCUGGGUCUCUGACUUUGUCUCCUGCGCCGCGAACCUUACACUCCCCCCGCCUCAGAAGAAGCCAUCAUGUGUGAGAAAUGACGGCCCAGUUUCCCUAAUGGUACGAAGCGGCGGUGUCAUGUCCAGGCCAGGACACCGGGGGCAGCGACACGACCCGCGGAGCUUCUCUCAGGUUACCCGUCCACGUCCAUUUGCAGGUAUGUCUUCAAAUGUGCGCGAACAGUAGACUGUGCACAGCCUCCUGCCAUGUCCUUCCUCCCGCAGACACAUUGCCGAGCCCGCCCGUCGCGGUGCAGGCCAUGCCAGCUCACGCGUGUGGGUAGACGUGCCGCCAUCUGUCUUUCAUCAUCCAGGACGCCAAGGGGGCUGGGUGGGGGCUGGCGGGACGGGCGGCACUACGGUGAGGAGCCUUGCGGUGUCUCCAGGAGCCAUCGCUUGGAGCAUGAGCAGAAGUGGGAUUCCUGGUCACCGGACGCCUGCAUCCGACCCACCGGACGUUAGCAGGCUGCCUUCAGGCUCGCCCACUUCCCACUUGCUCCCGCAGCGCAGGGCUGUGCGCCUCUGCUGGUCGGUGCCGCAGGGGCCUGUGUUGCUGUUCGGACUUGCGUUUCCCUGGAGUAAGAAGGUUUCCGGCUUCAGCAGAAAAGGGAAGUGUUCACCUGAGUCUCCGGGGG